UUUUGAAUAUAAAUAUAUGCCAUGCAAUAUCUGGACAUACUUAUAUUAAAA
RNAcentral lists this microRNA precursor (51 nucleotides) under Marmota monax (woodchuck). Lineage: Eukaryota; Metazoa; Chordata; Mammalia; Rodentia; Sciuridae. The record is from RNAcentral.